GGUGAACAGGUGCUUGGUGGGCGGGUCUGGAGGGCUCUUCACACCCCCCUGGCGCAGCAGGUGAGGACUGGGUGCGGCCCAGGGCCUGGUGGGGCACGGCGGCCAGGCUGAGGGGUGCCUGGUACACGUGCAGGGGUGGCAGCUGCUGGGCAUCUGUGAACAGCUGGGGCGAGGGGUGGGGGUGAGGCAGGUGAUGAGGGGCAGGUGCCCCAACCCCACACUGCCCGGAGGCCCAGGCCCGCAGGGCUCCUGGGGACAGGCCCGCCGCCUGCCUGCCUGUGCACAUCCCCGGAGGGACCGUGAGUCAGCGAGCAGCUCUGAGGUAAGCAGCGGGGGCGGGGAUGAGUCAGGCCGCUGGGCCCUGCGCUGUGAAUGGAGCGCUGUAGUAGCAGCAGGCAAUGCGUACACACGGCAGCGCAGGACACUGCAGCGCACACGGCACCAGGGCCCCCAAGCUUGGCACGGGGUGGAAGGGCACCUCUGUGUAGCCAGCGCCGGGCUCCUCCAGGUCGGGCCCCUCCUCAGGGCCACUGUCGCCCGCUGGGUCCUGGGCCUGGACGCAGCCGUCCUCCUGGGUGCUCUCGCUCUCCGUGGAGCCCUCCCGGGGCACCGCCAGGGCCCCCUCACCCAGUAGGGCCUCCUGCUGCUCCGUGAGCUCCUCCUCGGUUUCCUCAGGGUGUGUGGUGGGCGGCCUGGGCAGCUCCCCAGUCUUAGUGAGGAUCUGGGGGCAGAAGGCAGGGGCACACACCUCUCAUCCCAGCACUAGGAGGCCGAGGCAGGAGGACCGCGGUGAGCUCCAGGCCAGCUUGGGCUACAUAGCAAGACCCUGUCUCAAAACACCAAGAAACAGAACAGGAAAGCCGCACACGCCCGGCCGCCACCGCCCGGUACCUUGCCCAGCUGCAGCUGCUGCUGCUUUUGCCUCUCCAGGAACUGCUGCUGUGUGACGAGCUGCUGCAGGGCCUGGGGGCUCUGCGGUAGCGGCGAGGACUGCGUUCGACUCAGCGGCCGGUGCCGGGGGAGCUUGCCCGCUGUUCGCAUGCUGGUGGCCACACGCUCGCCUGUCACCAGGGGUGACUGCCCGUGGAUCGGCACUGGGGAGGGGAGGCGCGUGAGCCAUCUGUGCUGCACGGGGCCUGGCACCCCAGCCCAGCCCAGCCCCGAGCCCCCCGGGUGCACACAAGGUCCUGGGCCACCACGUGCAUGGGCAGCCAGGCAGCGCUGACCAGGCCCCCAACCAGCCCGGGGCCAGGGUGGACGCCCACCCUCCCAGGACCUCGGUGAUGCCCACAGGCACCUGAGUGCUGUCCUCCUUUGAGCCACGUGAGCCACAGCUGCCGCCUGUGAGUGGCCACAGAGACCUGGGAACUCAGCCUGUCUACACUGCUCGGCGGACCCCAAAGACUCAGUGUGAAACUGGUAAAAUCCCCAGCAGUGACUACAGUCCGUACACAGAGUUAAUGUUCUUAAUAUUACUUAUGUACUUAUUUACUUCGUUGAUUUUUUUGCCAGGGUCUCGCCAUGCAGUUCAGACUGACCUUGAACUCACUACAUAGCCCAGGCUGGCCUCGAACUCUCAGUGAUCUUCCUGCCUCAGCCUCCCAAGAUCUGGGACUACAGGUGUGCACCACCACACCAGCCUGAAUACAACUUAAAUAUAUGGCAUAAAACUAAUUCCUUGC
Molecule: long non-coding RNA, 1682 nt
Filed under: Heterocephalus glaber (naked mole-rat)
Lineage: Eukaryota; Metazoa; Chordata; Mammalia; Rodentia; Bathyergidae
Description: lncRNA (ENSHGLG00000032325.1)
Source: RNAcentral